This is an RNA transcript of Camarhynchus parvulus, 2960 nucleotides long. It is a transcript of the gene named N(alpha)-acetyltransferase 20, NatB catalytic subunit, with no coding region annotated. The transcript is spliced from 4 exons. The record is from RefSeq and is a predicted model, not a curated record. Lineage: Eukaryota; Metazoa; Chordata; Aves; Passeriformes; Thraupidae.
UCUCCCUUCGUUGCCUCUUUCGGGGAUUAUAACGCGGGAGCUUUUCUCACUCUUCGCGUUGACCAAAUGUCCAACAUGGAAGAGGAACCUUGCAUUGCAUCUUCCCGUUUCUUAAAUGUCUUGGGGUAUUAUGCAGGACUCAUGGCCAUAGCUUCGAGUUUGAUAUUCCUAGCGCAGCGUGGAGCCUGGGCUGUGGUAACAUCCACCCGUAUUUGGCGAAUGGGUAUUUCUGUAAUCUGGAAGAUUAAGUCCCUACCCACAGUCAGUAAAAGUGCUGGGCUUGCGUUUUGCAUUGCCCUGUAAAGGAAAACUCUGAGCCUGGAUGUAAUUUGCUAAUUUGCUGUGGAAUAUUUGUGUUUUUCAGAAGUCAUGCCAAAGAGAACUGCCAGCAGAUGGGGUGGGGCAGAGUAAUGGUUUUUGCAGGGACCCAGGAACUAAAAGUAUUUGACAUACUAAAGCAGAAAGUAUGUGUGCUGUAUAGAACAUUUCUCUGUAUCCACCACACUUGUUGCUUAAUAGCAGUGACUGCGAUAUCUAUUAAAAGCACAGGGUGGAAGUGUGAAUGUUCAUUAAUAAACUAACAUUGGAUUGAAAGGAGAGAAACUAGAAAAAAGCCCCCCAAAACACCAUCCCCACCUCCACAUCACUUUUUUUUUUUUUUUUUUCCUUAAGCACAUUGUGUUUGCAGGGCCUUAGCUUUCUAUUGCCAGACUGGCAAAGCUACCCAAACUCUAUUCCCUCAUAAUCUCCAAAAGUCUCAAAUAGGUGCUGGGAUGGUAGUUUUGGGUUUCUAGCCCUCUGUUCCUCCUUUGUUUUAGUCAGAUUUUAAAUUUUGGUUCAGUGAGACUUGUGAGAAUUGCUUAAAAUUUGCAUAUAGAAGUCACCUCAAGCAAGGAAUUUGCAAACUUGUUUGGUGUUUUUUUACACUAGUCAAGAAACUGCUGUAGUAUUUGAGAAAAAUGACAUUUUUAGUGGCUGCUGAAUCAUAGAGUGAAAAGGUAGACAUCCCUGUUUUAGCCUUUACUACAACUGUUGUAUCAUGUGUUUAUCCAUGGCUUAUUGCUCUUGUGAAGUUGUCUGGCUGCAGGCAGUGCAUUACUCCAAAGGUGCUGCUGCGCUGAUGCUCUGUGUGUUCACAGUCAUGGGCAAAGCUGAAGGCUCUGUGGCCAGGGAAGAAUGGCAUGGACACGUUACUGCUCUCUCUGUUGCACCAGAAUUUCGACGGCUGGGUUUGGCUGCUAAAUUGAUGGAGCUCCUGGAAGAAAUUUCAGAAAAAAAGGGUGGAUUUUUUGUCGAUCUCUUUGUGAGAGUAUCAAAUCAGGUUGCUGUAAAUAUGUAUAAGCAACUAGGCUACAGUGUGUACCGGACAGUCUUAGAGUACUACUCAGCUAGCAGUGGGGAGCCAGAUGAAGAUGCUUAUGAUAUGAGAAAAGCUCUUUCCAGAGAUACAGAGAAGAAAUCAGUUAUACCUCUGCCUCAUCCUGUGAGACCAGAAGACAUCGAGUAACUUUAAGCUGCAGUUCUUAUGCAAUGUACCAAGGGUCAGGUUCCAUCUCCUAUAACCUCCAACAACUUAGGCAUAAGAAGUUUUAGGCCAAAUGUUUUUCCCAUAAAAUACAUAAAAGCAAUGUUGAGAAGCUGACUAACACUGCUUCUAUUGGUAAUGCCUGUAUACUGCCACACUUACUCUAUUUUUCCUUUCACAUGUUGGAGAUUUGCAGACUAUUAAAAUGGAAAUACUUCCUGUAUGGUCUUUUCUUGGUUUUCUUGUUGCAGCUAAAAUUUAUUUCUGUUUCAGGAAGCAUCUCAUUGUAUAGUCUGUAAUUUAACAGUUCCCAUGCCAAGUUAAUUGUGGUGGAAGAAGGAAAAUGAAGCCAGGACACUCAACUAGGAUGCCCCAAACCCCUGCCAAUCACAGGUUGCCAAAAAAAACCACCCCAGGUUACAAAAAUACUAGAAACUCAGGUACAAAGAUACCAAAUCCCUGGCCUACAAAAAUACCAAAAACUCCCCCUACAAAAAACUAGGUUCCAAAAUACAACCCUAGGUGUAUUUUUGUUCAAAACCCUAGUUUUUGAGCCCUAGUUUCAAAAUAAUAGAAAACCAAAUUCCAAAAUACCAAAGAAAACCAGGUUUCAAAAUCACAGAUUUAAAAUAUCAGAAUUUUAACCUAACCCAGGUUCCAAAAUACAAAAGCAACCCAAUUUCAAAAUACCAGAAUAGCAAGUUCAGAAAUAUCAAAACACAGUUUCAAAACACUAGAAUACCAAGUUCCAAAACACCAAAAUAAUUCCAUUUCAAAAUACCAGAAUAUCAAGUUCCAAAAUAUCUAAAUGACCUCAUUUCAAAAUAUCAAACUGCAAAAUACCAAUUCUCAGAUCUCUUAUGUGGUCAGGAUUCCCAAACCCAAAAGAAUGCAAUAUUGUCAAAAUGGAAUCUGUGGUACCAAAAUGGAUGUUUUCUUGUCUGAAAAGCUUUCCUCUGGUGACCAUCAGUACAUGUAUUUAUUCUAAUUGUACAGCCAGAUGCAAUAAGAAUUUUAUUGUAAAAGCAAACACUUGUAGUAGCUGUCUGCUUAGUUUAUGUCUGUGAGAACUGGCAUUUGGGCCGGAGAGCUGUGGUUGGGAUCAAAGGAUGGAGUAAAUCUUUUCCCUGCAGAUGCACAGUGAAAGACUGCGGAGCAGGCAAAGAGAGCAUUUAUAUAUUUCACUGAAAUUCGGGGUGCAGCAGCAAUGGGGGUGCUCAGGUUCAUUAGGAUGAGCCAUAAACAACACAGCCAAACCCAUGACGCCUCAAGGGACGUGUCAAACGCUUCGACAGAAACAGGAGGAAUGCAACUCAUGAAGAGUUUAAGAGGAGAAGCUCAUGAAGAAUUGCAGCCCAUAAGAAGGACCCAUAUUGGAGAAAUUAAUGGAGAACUGUUCCCUGUAGGAGGGAUCUCAUGCUGCAGCAGCACAAAG